CUGUAGUCAUCUGUACACUUACAACGCGAUGCACCAAACUAAUUAUAGUUAAGAAAGGGUGGAGAGAGGGGUCAGAGUGAGAGAAUAAGUCUAGAAACAGCCAAACCAGUCAGAUUUCAUGCUAAAAUUAAUAACCGUACAAGCAGUUGUUAUCAAGUUAAUCAGUAUCACUCUUGGUAAUGCAUUGUGGUCAGGUCCUGUACUGUAACUCACCUUUCUCUGCUUUGGCCUGGAGAAGCAUUAUGUUUUCUUAGCUUUGUCAGGAUGUAUGCCAUGGCAACUUUAACACCCAGGUUAGAGUGUCCACGGGACAGGCAGAUGACACCACCAAUAAGCAGCAAACCAUUUGCCAAAACUUUCCUUGAUGGCUUUUUAAGGAAUUUCCUCUCUUUGUUUACAUCAGUAAGCAAUCCAUCCAUGGUGAUUACUGCAGGAUUUGCUGGAGUAUCCACAACAAUGUCCAUUUGUUCUAAUCCUGGUGGAACCUUCUGGAUCAGAGACAAAGCAGUAACUGCAGGACCCAUCUGAAGAUGACUAAAUGCAUUGUACUUGUGCAGUGCAUUAUCCAUCUUACAAACAUAACUCCAUAUGCCCCUAGCAAAAGCAAACUUCGCCAUCUCUACAUUUAAACCAGCAUCUUCUUGGUGCCACAUUUUGAUCUCACAGGCAUUUCUACCAGGUACUUUCCCAAUUCUCCAACCAGAUCUAAAGAAACCCACUCGUAGAUACUUUCUCUGCUGAGGUGCUAACGGAUGCUCACAUUCCUUAAUAAAGCAGUAGAAUGUUUUAUCUUUUCCUUCCCAUAAUCUCCAGGCCAAUAUGUAUUCCCUGGGUGUCAAGAGUGGAAAUUUUUUUAUAGUGCAACCAACUUCAGUGCCAUUGGUUUUAUCCACCUCCAGCUGCCUAUGUUCAACCAAGGUAUUGUCCCACUGCUUUCUGUAGUCAUUAUCCAUGUAAAAGUCCUUAAGAAUCUCUGGGGAGCAAUUUUCAAAUACUG
This 997-nucleotide unclassified non-coding RNA is filed under the name Hevea brasiliensis (rubber tree). Lineage: Eukaryota; Viridiplantae; Streptophyta; Magnoliopsida; Malpighiales; Euphorbiaceae. The record is from RNAcentral.